Long non-coding RNA from Gossypium raimondii (Peruvian cotton), 632 nucleotides. RefSeq lists it as uncharacterized. The record is from RefSeq and is a predicted model, not a curated record. NCBI's taxonomy places the organism in Eukaryota, Viridiplantae, Streptophyta, Magnoliopsida, Malvales, Malvaceae. The transcript is spliced from 2 exons.
AUUCAAUUUUAAAAAUAAAAAAUAAGACACUCACAAAUCCUCUCAAACCUCUCAAAGCACCCCAAAUCCGGCCAUUGCCACCGCCGACGAACGGCCCCGCCACCGCCGUGGUCUGUGGCCGAUGACGAAAGAUGGGUUUUUUAGCCCCUUUUAAAGGCCGGUGGUCAGUGACCGGCGACGAGAGGCUGAAAGAGAAAAAUCUAGCCCCCUUUUAAGUCUGAUUCCGACGACGGGAAAAGGACUUCCGACGACCUGACUUGCGGGGCGAUUCCAGGUGCCAGAUGCAGUGGCAGAGGAGGUGUGUGGCGCGGGUCAGAGGCAGUGCAGGCAUGGCAGAGGGAGUCAGACGCAUGGGGGAAGAGGUGGCGUGCGGCAGCAGCAAAGCUUAAGGUGGCUAGGGUUAGAUUUGGCUGAAAACUUGAGUUUAGGUUGUGGGCCACUUGGGCCACUUGGGCCACUAGGUUUUUUUAUUGGGCUGUUAAUUUUUUUAUAUUUUUGGUUUGUUUUGCUAGUAUGGGUCGGGGGCUAAAAUUGGGCCUUACACCUCCUUCUUGCUACUUGAUUUUCUUUUCUACUUCAACGAAUUAUUCAACGGAAUCAUCUAUAUAUUAUAUCGUUUAAAUAUUAUAUUA